UACAGAGGUCUCAAGCGUUGUUCGGAUUCAUUGGGCGUAAAGGGUGCGUAGGUGGCGGGGUAAGUCAGGUGUGAAAUCUCGAGGCUCAACCUCGAAACUGCACUUGAUACUGCCUUGCUCGAGUACUGGAGAGGAGAUUGGAAUUUACGGUGUAGCAGUGAAAUGCGUAGAUAUCGUAAGGAAGACCAGUGGCGAAGGCGAAUCUCUGGACAGUUACUGACACUGAGGCACGAAGGCCAGGGGAGCGAACGGG
Molecule: ribosomal RNA, 253 nt
Filed under: uncultured bacterium
Lineage: Bacteria
Description: partial 16S ribosomal RNA
Rfam family: Bacterial small subunit ribosomal RNA
Source: RNAcentral